CACAAAUUGGCAAUUGUGCUCUUUAUAGCAGGGAGAAGAGUGGCAGUUGCAUUGGAAACCUGAUUAGAAUGGAACAUGUAAAGAUAGUUUGUGAUGGGCAAUAUUUACAUAAUUUCCAAUGUAAACAUGGUGCCAUACCUGUCACAAAUCUAAUGGCAGGUGACAGAGUUAUUGUAAGUGGAGAAGAAAGGUCACUGUUUGCUUUGUCUAGAGGAUAUGUGAAGGAGAUUA
Molecule: long non-coding RNA, 231 nt
Filed under: Homo sapiens (human)
Lineage: Eukaryota; Metazoa; Chordata; Mammalia; Primates; Hominidae
Description: HSALNT0163853
Source: RNAcentral